AGAGUUUGAUCCUGGCUCAGGAUGAAUUCUGGCGGCGUGCUUAACACAUGCAAGUCGAACGGAGUUAUUUUUAAAGCUUGCUUUUUUAAUAACUUAGUGGCGGACGGGUGAGUAACGCGUGGGUAACCUGCCGUAUACAGGGGGAUAACACUUAGGAAUAGGUGCUAAUACCGCAUAAGCGCACAGGACCGCAUGGUUCGGUGUGAAAAACUCCGGUGGUAUACGAUGGACCCGCGUCUGAUUAGAUAGUUGGUGAGGUAACGGCCCACCAAGUCAACGAUCAGUAGCCGGCCUGAGAGGGUGAACGGCCACAUUGGGACUGAGACACGGCCCAAACUCCUACGGGAGGCAGCAGUGGGGAAUAUUGGACAAUGGGGGAAACCCUGAUCCAGCGACGCCGCGUGAGUGAAGAAGUAUUUCGGUAUGUAAAGCUCUAUCAGCAGGGAAGAUAAUGACGGUACCUGACUAAGAAGCUCCGGCUAAAUACGUGCCAGCAGCCGCGGUAAUACGUAUGGAGCAAGCGUUAUCCGGAUUUACUGGGUGUAAAGGGAGCGUAGACGGCAUGGCAAGUCUGAUGUGAAAAUCCCGGGCUCAACCCGGAAACUGCAUUGGAAACUGUUAAGCUAGAGUGCAGGAGAGGUAAGUGGAAUUCCUAGUGUAGCGGUGAAAUGCGUAGAUAUUAGGAGGAACACCAGUGGCGAAGGCGGCUUGCUGGACGACAACUGACGCUGAGGCGCGAAAGCGUGGGGAGCAAACAGGAUUAGAUACCCUGGUAGUCCACGCUGUAAACGAUGAAUACUAGGUGUGGGAGGACUGACCCCUUCCGUGCCGCAGUUAACACAAUAAGUAUUCCACCUGGGGAGUACGACCGCAAGGUUGAAACUCAAAGGAAUUGACGGGGGCCCGCACAAGCAGUGGAUUAUGUGGUUUAAUUCGACGCAACGCGAAGAACCUUACCAGGACUUGACAUCCAACUAACGAGGCAGAGAUGCGUUAGGUGCCCUUCGGGGAAAGUUGAGACAGGUGGUGCAUGGUUGUCGACAGCUCGUGUCGUGAGAUGUUGGGUUAAGUCCCGCAACGAGCGCAACCCCUAUUGUUAGUUGCUACGCAAGAGCACUCUAGCGAGACUGCCGUGGAUAACACGGAGGAAGGUGGGGAUGACGUCAAAUCAUCAUGCCCCUUAUGUCUUGGGCUACACACGUGCUACAAUGGCUGGCAACAGAGUGAAGCGAGACGGUGACGUUAAGCAAAACACAAAAACCCAGUCUCAGUUCGGAUUGUAGUCUGCAACUCGACUACAUGAAGCUGGAAUCGCUAGUAAUCGCGAAUCAGAAUGUCGCGGUGAAUACGUUCCCGGGCCUUGUACACACCGCCCGUCA
This 1379-nucleotide ribosomal RNA is filed under the name uncultured bacterium. Its description in RNAcentral is "16S ribosomal RNA". It matches the Rfam family "Bacterial small subunit ribosomal RNA". The record is from RNAcentral.